ACGCUCGACACCUACGGGAUGCAGCAGUAGGGAAUCUUCCACAAUGGACGCAAGUCUGAUGGAGCAACGCCGCGUGAGUGAAGAAGGUCUUCGGAUCGUAAAACUCUGUUGUUAGAGAAGAACACGAGUGAGAGUAACUGUUCAUUCGAUGACGGUAUCUAACCAGCAAGUCACGGCUAACUACGUACCAGCAGCCGCGGUAAUCUGAGCGGGCUGGCAAGGC
This 223-nucleotide ribosomal RNA is filed under the name uncultured bacterium. Its description in RNAcentral is "partial 16S ribosomal RNA". It matches the Rfam family "Bacterial small subunit ribosomal RNA", at positions 326 to 539 of the family's 1533-position model. The record is from RNAcentral.